CAAUAGCGUAUAUUAAAGUUGUUGCAGUUAAAAAGCUCGUAGUUGGAUUUCGGGUCGACGCGCGCGGUCCGCCGCAAGGCUGGUACUUCGCCGUCGUCCUUCUUCCCGGCGGCCCCGUCUGCUCUUCAUUGCAGUGGACCGGGGACCUCGGGACGUUUACUGUGAAAAAUUAGAGUGUUCAAAGCAGGCAGCCGCUUGAAUACAUUAGCAUGGAAUAAUGGAAGAGGACUUGGGUCCAAUUUUGUUGGUUUCUCGGGACCGAAGUAAUGAUCAAUAGGGACAGUCGGGGGCAUUCGUAUUCAAUUGUCAGAGGUGAAAUUCUUGGAUUUAUGGAAGACGAACAAGUGCGAAAGCAUUUGCCAAGGAUGUUUUCAUUAAUCAAGAACGAAAGUUAGGGGUUCGAAGAUGAUCAGAUACCGU
Molecule: ribosomal RNA, 420 nt
Filed under: uncultured eukaryote
Lineage: Eukaryota
Description: SSU rRNA
Rfam family: Eukaryotic small subunit ribosomal RNA
Source: RNAcentral